This 353-nucleotide long non-coding RNA is filed under the name Homo sapiens (human). RNAcentral describes it as "non-protein coding EDRF1-AS1:29". Lineage: Eukaryota; Metazoa; Chordata; Mammalia; Primates; Hominidae. The record is from RNAcentral.
GGUUGAUUUAGUUCAUGGUUCUGCAGGCUGGGAAGUUCAAGCACAUGGCUCUAGCUUCUGGUGAGAGGUUUCAGGCUGCGUCAUAAUAUGGCAGAGAAGAUCAAUGGGUAAAUGGACAUGUGUGAAGAAAGGCAAAACCAGAGACCGUCCAGGCUGGACUUGAACUCCUUCCUCGGCUGAAGUGAUCCUCCUGCCUCAGCGUCCUGAAUAGGUAGGACUACAACUGUGAGUCACUUUACUCAACCAGAAAUGGUGAAUGAUAAAAAAUGUUUAUAGAUCAUUGCUUCUAAAAAGACUAUAUUAGACACACUGUGGUACCCAAAACCAAAUGCUAGCUACUUUUUAACUCAAAA